GCGAAGGUGGCGGAAUUAGUAGACGCGCUAGCUUCAGGUGUUAGUGUUCUUACGGACGUGGGGGUUCAAGUCCCCCCCCUCGCACCA
This 87-nucleotide transfer RNA is filed under the name Escherichia coli. RNAcentral describes it as "tRNA-Leu". It matches the Rfam family "tRNA". From Rfam's summary of the family: Transfer RNA (tRNA) molecules are approximately 80 nucleotides in length. RNAcentral also lists the same sequence under 6 other names. The record is from RNAcentral. Lineage: Bacteria; Pseudomonadati; Pseudomonadota; Gammaproteobacteria; Enterobacterales; Enterobacteriaceae.